AUUAGUGGCGGACGGGUGAGUAACGCGUGGAUAACCUGCCGUAUACAGGGGGAUAACACUUAGAAAUAGGUGCUAAUACUGCAUAAGCGCACGGUUCCGCAUGGAACAGUGUGAAAAACUCCGGUGGUAUACGAUGGAUCCGCGUCUGAUUAGCCAGUUGGCGGGGUAACGGCCCACCAAAGCGACGAUCAGUAGCCGGCCUGAGAGGGUGAACGGCCACAUUGGGACUGGGACACGGCCCAAACUCCUACGGGAGGCAGCAG
This 263-nucleotide ribosomal RNA is filed under the name uncultured bacterium. RNAcentral describes it as "partial 16S ribosomal RNA". It matches the Rfam family "Bacterial small subunit ribosomal RNA", at positions 91 to 354 of the family's 1533-position model. The record is from RNAcentral.